CCCGGCGUGGCGUAGCGGUUAGGGAGCUGGGCUGGGAACUCCCAGGUUGUGGGUUUGAAUCCCGCGAGGGGG
This 72-nucleotide transfer RNA is filed under the name Anguilla anguilla (European eel). Its description in RNAcentral is "tRNA-OTHER". The record is from RNAcentral. Lineage: Eukaryota; Metazoa; Chordata; Actinopteri; Anguilliformes; Anguillidae.